RNAcentral lists this unclassified non-coding RNA (227 nucleotides) under uncultured fungus. RNAcentral describes it as "sequence contains ITS1, 5.8S rRNA gene". The stretch from base 179 to 227 matches the Rfam family "5.8S ribosomal RNA", at positions 1 to 49 of the family's 154-position model. Lineage: Eukaryota; Fungi. The record is from RNAcentral.
UCUCCGUAGGUGAACCUGCGGAGGGAUCAUUACUGAGUGAGGGCCUUCGGGCUCGACCUCCAACCCUUUGUGAAUCGUACUCGUUGCUUCGGGGGCGACCCUGCCGUCCGCGGCUGAGCGCCCCCGGGGUCAAUCAAACACUGCAUCUUUGCGUCGGAGUUUAAAACAAAUGAAACAAAACUUUCAACAACGGAUCUCUUGGUUCUGGCAUCGAUGAAGAACGCAGC